GAUGAUCUGGCCUCGAAAUUCUCGGAAACCGACAAUUACUAAAACAGUAAACGCAGACAAAGGUCCGUGGUCGUGCGCACGAAUUCUCGUCGCGAGUGUCUCUCCGCGAAAUUAUCCGUCGUCUUUUCCAAUCUGGUCUUUUCGAUGAACUACGUCGAGCUCGCUGCUCGCGUACUUACUCGUCAAGUCGACACGCAAAAGAGAAAGAGAUCCACGGAUCAAUGAUGACGCAUUCGUAUCUCCUUGCCUUGCGUCCAUCGGCGAACCUAACCUCUCCGCGGAUGAGAAAGCGUUGAUUGCGGUUGGGCAAAUUGUCGAUAUGCGGCGGUUCUUUCUACGCUUGGGACGCAUCCAGGAAGAGAAGAGCCGUUACGAAUCGAUAUUCGAACAACCCACGAGGCAACAGAUGACGAUGAAAUUAUGGGCGUGCGUUGGUGAAUGUUCAAAGAAUGGACUGUCGCAAGGAUCUUGAAAGGUUCGUUCGGUCGUUUCCUGAGACGGUGAUGACGUCCAUGAGUCGAUGCAUCGGAACGCAGUUGGCCACGACGCAUUGCAGCACGUGCUAUAUCGAAUGCUUGCACGGAACAUCGGACUCGAGAUGCAUCAGAGAGGCUCCCGCAUCCUUCGCGACCUCCAGAAGUGCCAGUCGAUUUGCCCACAACUAGGCAGACAACGCCAUUGACAAAGGGCACUUGAUAAUGAAGCAGUACUCACCGGCCAC
Long non-coding RNA from Acromyrmex echinatior (Panamanian leafcutter ant), 721 nucleotides. RefSeq lists it as uncharacterized. Lineage: Eukaryota; Metazoa; Arthropoda; Insecta; Hymenoptera; Formicidae. The record is from RefSeq and is a predicted model, not a curated record.